This 73-nucleotide transfer RNA is filed under the name Brassica napus var. napus (canola). Its description in RNAcentral is "tRNA-Ala". Lineage: Eukaryota; Viridiplantae; Streptophyta; Magnoliopsida; Brassicales; Brassicaceae. The record is from RNAcentral.
GGAUCUGACUCCUUCAUGCAUGCUCCACUUGGCUCGGGAACUCGUGAACUUAGCCGAUACAAAGCUAUAUGAU